UUCCCCUUCAGCCCGGGGAAAAAACCCUAAAAAAAAUUUUCCCCCAACGGGGGAGAAACACGUGGGCAGUCUGCCAGGCGGCUCUGGGACAAGCCCUGGUUUCCGGGGUCUAAUACCGGAUAUGAGCCUGGGAGGCAUCUCCUGGGUUGUAAAGCUCCGGCGGUGAAGGAUGAGCCCGCGGCCUAUCACCUUGUUGGUGAGGUAAUGGCUCACCAGGGCGACGACGGGUAGCCGGCCUGAGAUGGCGACCGGCCCACUGGGACUGAGACUCGGUCCAGAUUCCUACGGGAGGCAGCAGUGGGGAAUUUUUUUUUUUUGGCCGAAUGCCUGAUGCACCGCACUCCGCCCGAGGGGAUGACGGGCCCUCCCGUUGUAAACCUCUUUCAGCUAGGGAAGGAGUCUAAAUUCACAGUUUGGUGCAGAAAGAACCCUCGGCCUAUCUUCCCCCCCCCCCGCCGCGGUAAUCACGUUAUGGUCCCCCGCCGUGGUCCAAGAAUUUAUCGGCCCCUUUCACCCUCCCUCCCCCCCGGCCAGUGUUGUCCACGCCCUCGCCUGUGGCUCUCCCCCGAUCUCUUUAUCUCUCCUGAGUUAUCGACCCCACUUUUCCUCGGGCCUACUCUUCCCAUGGUGGGCUAGGGGCCAAAUCUCGGUCCUCCCUCGGUUCCUCCACCCAUUUUCAUCCCUUAAUCUUCCCACCGCAGUUUUCCUCCUUUCGCUAUGGCCUGCUUCCUCUUUUCAUCCCCCUCCUCCCCUCUGUAUCUCGCCCAUUCCCCCCGGGCACCCCACUUCUAAAUUUUCCCGCUUCCCCCUCCUCACCACUAUCCCUAAUCACCCCCCUUCGUUCCUAUUCCUUCCUCCCCUUU
This 863-nucleotide ribosomal RNA is filed under the name Streptomyces sp. SUK 1. Its description in RNAcentral is "partial 16S ribosomal RNA". The stretch from base 1 to 335 matches the Rfam family "Bacterial small subunit ribosomal RNA", at positions 72 to 390 of the family's 1533-position model. The record is from RNAcentral. Lineage: Bacteria; Bacillati; Actinomycetota; Actinomycetes; Kitasatosporales; Streptomycetaceae.